Molecule: long non-coding RNA, 822 nt
Organism: Alligator mississippiensis (American alligator)
Lineage: Eukaryota; Metazoa; Chordata; Crocodylia; Alligatoridae
Exons: 3
Source: RefSeq, a predicted model, not a curated record
ACUUAUCGGUUACUCACACCCACGCACACUGCCCAGCUAUGCUAUAAACCUCUUAGCUCAAGCUCCAGCAGCAGCCCAGCUCAAGCCUGGAAGCUCACCUCCAGCUCAACUCUUUCUGCAAAGUGUUUGGAACUUAGUUGUACACUGAAGGUCGUAAGUAACACAAUUCUGGCAGCAUCAAUCCCACAAUUCCCCGUUCCUGUUUACAAGACCUGCAUCCCAUUUCCUUUUCUACUGCUUGUAACUAGAAACAAUCCCAGAAACAAAAUUUUCUGCAGACUGAUUUUAAGAAGGGAUCCACAAGGAAAUCAGACACAGCUUGGUGCCAUGCUCAAGAGUGUAACUUGCAGCUUCACUUCUCUGCAAUCCCAGAUGCCUGGGUCCAUGCAGAGUCAGACCAUGAAAGCAACAUCCAGGGACUUUUUAAAGUCAUAAAGAAGGUGUCCAAAGCCCACACUUGCAGAUUUGAGGCAACGUUGGAUUUCUUCAUUGAUGUCAACAUUCUGUGAGAGAUGGCUUCUGAGGUACGAGAAACAACCUUCUCCAGCGUCUCGCUGUGGAUCUAGAUUGUCGGAGCUGGGGAUUAUUCAUAAGAGGCAUUUUUAGAUGUGCACAUAAUGCAGCACCAGGCACGUUUGAAAGCGCCCGGCACCGUGACACACACUUUUGUAUAAACAGUGAAAUAUACGUCAGUGCUGAGAAAAUGUUAGUGGUGGUGUGCUUUGAACUAAAACUCACUGAAGAUGUUUUAGUUCAAAAUUGCACUGCUGCCAUUUUUCCAGAGCUGAUGCACAUUUUGCUGUUUAUACGAAUGCAUGUGAU